AACGUAGGAUCCGAGCGUUAUCCGAAUUUACUGGGCGUAAAGCGCGUGCAGGCGGUUCGAUAAGUUGGAUGUGAAAUCUCCUGGCUCAACUGGGAGAGGUCGUUCAAUACUGUCGGACUUGAGGAUGGUAGAGGGAGGUGGAAUUCCCGGUGUAGUGGUGAAAUGCGUAGAUAUCGGGAGGAACACCAGUGGCGAAAGCGGCCUCCUGGACCAUUUCUGACGCUCAGACGCGAAAGCUAGGGGAGCGAACGGG
This 253-nucleotide ribosomal RNA is filed under the name uncultured Leptolinea sp. Its description in RNAcentral is "partial 16S ribosomal RNA". It matches the Rfam family "Bacterial small subunit ribosomal RNA", at positions 524 to 776 of the family's 1533-position model. The record is from RNAcentral. Lineage: Bacteria; Bacillati; Chloroflexota; Anaerolineae; Anaerolineales; Anaerolineaceae.